GACGAACGCUGGCGGCGUGCUUAACACAUGCAAGUCGAACGGUGAAGCGCCUUCCUUUUUGGUGGGUGUGGAUGAGUGGCGAACGGGUGAGUAACACGUGAGUAACCUGCCCCCUUCUUCUGGAUAACCGCAUGAAAGUGUGGCUAAUACGGGAUAUUCUGGGUCUGUCGCAUGAUGGGUCUGGGAAAGAUAUUGUUUCGGUGGGGGGUGGGCUCGCGGCCUAUCAGCUUGUUGGUGGGGUGAUGGCCUACCAAGGCGGUGACGGGUAGCCGGCCUGAGAGGGUGGACGGUCACACUGGGACUGAGACACGGCCCAGACUCCGACGGGAGGCAGCAGUGGGGAAUAUUGCACAAUGGGCGCAAGCCUGAUGCAGCGACGCCGCGUGAGGGAUGGAGGCCUUCGGGUUGUGAACCUCUUUCGCCAGUGAAGCAGGCCUGCCUCGUUUGUGGGUGGGUUGACGGUAGCUGGAGAAGAAGCGCCGGCUAACUACGUG
RNAcentral lists this ribosomal RNA (494 nucleotides) under uncultured bacterium. RNAcentral describes it as "partial 16S ribosomal RNA". It matches the Rfam family "Bacterial small subunit ribosomal RNA", at positions 28 to 507 of the family's 1533-position model. The record is from RNAcentral.